Molecule: small RNA, 125 nt
Filed under: Marmota monax (woodchuck)
Lineage: Eukaryota; Metazoa; Chordata; Mammalia; Rodentia; Sciuridae
Source: RNAcentral
GCUGGACAAGGUGGCACAUGCCUGUAAUCCCAGUGGCUUGGGAGGCUGAGACAGGAGGACUGAGAGUUCAAAGCCACCCUCAAUGACAGUGAGGUGCUAAGCAACUCAGUGAGACCCUGUCUCUA